RNAcentral lists this ribosomal RNA (482 nucleotides) under uncultured bacterium. RNAcentral's name for it is "partial 16S ribosomal RNA". It matches the Rfam family "Bacterial small subunit ribosomal RNA", at positions 29 to 507 of the family's 1533-position model. The record is from RNAcentral.
UUGAACGCUGGCGGCAUGCUUUACACAUGCAAGUCGAACGGCAGCGCGGGCUUCGGCCUGGCGGCGAGUGGCGAACGGGUGAGUAAUGCAUCGGAACGUGCCCAGUAGUGGGGGAUAGCCCGGCGAAAGCCGGAUUAAUACCGCAUACGACCUGAGGGUGAAAGCGGGGACCGAAAGGCCUCGCGCUAUUGGAGCGGCCGAUGUCGGAUUAGCUAGUUGGUGGGGUAAAGGCUUACCAAGGCGACGAUCCGUAGCUGGUCUGAGAGGACGACCAGCCACACUGGGACUGAGACACGGCCCAGACUCCUACGGGAGGCAGCAGUGGGGAAUUUUGGACAAUGGGGGCAACCCUGAUCCAGCCAUGCCGCGUGCGGGAAGAAGGCCUUCGGGUUGUAAACCGCUUUUGUUCGGGAAGAAAUCCUCUGGGCUAAUACCCCGGGGGGAUGACGGUACCGGAAGAAUAAGCACCGGCUAACUACGUG